GAUGAACGCUAGCGGCAGGCUUAACACAUGCAAGUCGAGGGGUAUUUAUCUUCGGAUAGAGAGACCGGCGCACGGGUGCGUAACGCGUAUGCAAUCCACCUUUUACAGAGGGAUAGCCCAGAGAAAUUUGGAUUAAUACCUCAUAGUAUAUAGACUCGGCAUCGAGAUUAUAUUAAAGUCACAACGGUAAAAGAUGAGCAUGCGUCCCAUUAGCUAGUUGGUAAGGUAACGGCUUACCAAGGCUACGAUGGGUAGGGGUCCUGAGAGGGAGAUCCCCCACACUGGUACUGAGACACGGACCAGACUCCUACGGGAGGCAGCAGUGAGGAAUAUUGGACAAUGGGCGCAAGCCUGAUCCAGCCAUGCCGCGUGCAGGAUGACGGUCCUAUGGAUUGUAAACUGCUUUUAUACGAGAAGAAACACUGCUACGUGUAGCAGCUUGACGGUAUCGUAAGAAUAAGGAUCGGCUAACUCCGUG
RNAcentral lists this ribosomal RNA (478 nucleotides) under uncultured bacterium. RNAcentral's name for it is "partial 16S ribosomal RNA". It matches the Rfam family "Bacterial small subunit ribosomal RNA", at positions 28 to 507 of the family's 1533-position model. The record is from RNAcentral.